This 497-nucleotide ribosomal RNA is filed under the name uncultured bacterium. RNAcentral describes it as "partial 16S ribosomal RNA". It matches the Rfam family "Bacterial small subunit ribosomal RNA", at positions 28 to 507 of the family's 1533-position model. The record is from RNAcentral.
GAUGAACGCUGGCGGCGUGCCUAAUACAUGCAAGUCGAGCGAACGGAUGAGAAGCUUGCUUCUCUGAUGUUAGCGGCGGACGGGUGAGUAACACGUGGAUAACCUACCUAUAAGACUGGGAUAACUUCGGGAAACCGGAGCUAAUACCGGAUAAUAUUUUGAACCGCAUGGUUCAAAAGUGAAAGACGGUCUUGCUGUCACUUAUAGAUGGAUCCGCGCUGCAUUAGCUAGUUGGUAAGGUAACGGCUUACCAAGGCAACGAUGCAUAGCCGACCUGAGAGGGUGAUUGGCCACACUGGAACUGAGACACGGUCCAGACUCCUACGGGAGGCAGCAGUAGGGAAUCUUCCGCAAUGGGCGAAAGCCUGACGGAGCAACGCCGCGUGAGUGAUGAAGGUCUUCGGAUCGUAAAACUCUGUUAUUAGGGAAGAACAUAUGUGUAAGUAACUGUGCACAUCUUGACGGUACCUAAUCAGAAAGCCACGGCUAACUACGUG